Molecule: RNA transcript, 1061 nt
Organism: Propithecus coquereli (Coquerel's sifaka)
Lineage: Eukaryota; Metazoa; Chordata; Mammalia; Primates; Indriidae
Exons: 1
Source: RefSeq, a predicted model, not a curated record
CUCUUCUGGCCCUCCUCCUUCCCCUUGCUUAGCUUGUACUUUGGACGCCUUUCUGUAGAUGUGACCUGUCUCACCUUUCUAGCCCUGCCCGCUUCCCUGUACCAGAGCCGUGACCUCUCGCAGCCCCCAUCUCUGCUGAAUUCCUGGUGUGGGGGAAGGAGGGGUGCCCCAAGAUUGUGUCUGUGCCCCACCACCUGGAGGUCAGGUCCUCUGGGGCCCAGGCCCACAGCUGUAUGGGCAGCCCAGGGGCAGGACUGGAUGGAUGAGCCGGGCCUGGGCAAGGUGGGGGAGGAGUGGGAGGGGUAGCAUGGGCUUCAGAGACACCCGCACACCUGGGAAAGUCGCAGAAGGCUUUUCCUCAGAUGGCACACUUCCUCCGCUGUCCCUAUUCCUAGGCGUGGGGCUUGGCCUAAGGAUGGGGGGGUGUGCCAGGGAUGGACCCACCAGAGCACAAGGGAAGGUGGCUGUCCUGGGGGCUCCCGGGACACCUGUCAGUGCCUUCAGCCCACCAGCAGGAGCCUGGGGUUUGGGGGGUGGGGAAGAGUCCGUCAAGCACAAUCAUUCUCCAAGUGGAACCAAAGAAGCAAGCAGCCGGGGCCCCCAGCCCUGGCCCCCCAGGAGCACAAUUGGGGUUCCCACAGCCAGGCAGAGCAGGGGGUGCCGCGGAGGAGCAGCGCGUGGAGAUGGGCUGUGGGUUCUGCUGAGCGGGUGGGGCUCAUCGCCGCUCCCGGCGUGGAGCUGCGAGAAAGAUGACGUGGAAGGAGAGGGAGAGAGCCACCUGGUACUUGCGCAGCCGCCGCCUCUUCUGAAAUUCCAUCCCCCUCUGCUUGGGGGGAGUGCAUCGUCUUUCCUUUUGCUUCUCACUUUUGCAUGUUUUUACGGAUUAUUCGAUAUGCUAACCGUUCUCAGCCCUGAGCCUUGAAGAGAGGGGGGCUUCCACCCCUCCUCCACUCAGACUUAGGUGCUCUCUGGAGACGAAACUCUUAAACACUUUGUAUAUUUUCUCAAUUAGAUCUCUUUUCAGAAGUGUCUGUAGAACAAUAAAAAUCUUUUACUUCUGA